UGCGUAGGCGGGCUAAUAAGUCAGUGGUGAAAUCUCUCGGCUCAACCGGGAAACUGCCAUUGAUACUGUUAGUCUUGAGUUCGGUUGAGGUAGGCGGAAUGUGUAAUGUAGCGGUGAAAUGCUUAGAUAUUACACAGAACACCAAUUGCGUAGGCAGCUUACUAGACCGACACUGACGCUGAGGCACGAAAGCGUGGGGAGUGAACAGGAUUAGAUACCCUGGUAGUCC
RNAcentral lists this ribosomal RNA (229 nucleotides) under uncultured bacterium. RNAcentral describes it as "partial 16S ribosomal RNA". It matches the Rfam family "Bacterial small subunit ribosomal RNA", at positions 568 to 796 of the family's 1533-position model. The record is from RNAcentral.